CGGAGCAACAAAAUGGCCCAUCCAAGCAUAGCUACCCAUCCAUAACAAAGCAAGCUUUCCAUGAACUCAUCAGAAAAAGAAAACUCAGCAAAACUCAGCUCAGCACUAGCAAAAGGGGGUUGCUGCAGAGCUUUCUGGCACUCUAAGCCAUAAGGAGGCCUUCCCAACCGUGUUGUAGAAAUAAUUUCCAGAGAUGUGAAAACAACCAAAUCGCAAGGAAAC
RNAcentral lists this unclassified non-coding RNA (222 nucleotides) under Hevea brasiliensis (rubber tree). Lineage: Eukaryota; Viridiplantae; Streptophyta; Magnoliopsida; Malpighiales; Euphorbiaceae. The record is from RNAcentral.